UCAACUUAACUAAAUAAGUCUAAUAUUCAAAAUAAUGAAAUAGUGUUGACAAAACAUCUUUCGUUUAAAUAGUCUAAUUUUAGAUUAAAAUAUUUUGUGAGUUUUACUAUAGUAAACAACCCGUAAAAAUAUAUAUAUAAUCAUAAUUAUGUAAAUGAUAACCCGCUCCAUCACAUAACCCGUGCUACACAAUUAUCAAUAAUUUUUUUGUACAUACAUUUUUGUAUCGUUUGAGUAAUAUACGUCCGUUUUCAAAAAUUCAAAUUGCAACAUAUGCAAAAAAAAAAAAAAACAUUUACCAUCCAUAAUUUUAUGUAAUAAUAGAAAUUUAAAAACAAAUAAGAUGAUAUAAAGAUAUUGGAGAAAUAUUUGAUUUAUU
This 379-nucleotide long non-coding RNA is filed under the name Capsella rubella. RNAcentral's name for it is "long non-coding RNA (CRUB_LNC003311)". The record is from RNAcentral. Lineage: Eukaryota; Viridiplantae; Streptophyta; Magnoliopsida; Brassicales; Brassicaceae.